Molecule: ribosomal RNA, 301 nt
Filed under: uncultured bacterium
Lineage: Bacteria
Description: partial 16S ribosomal RNA
Rfam family: Bacterial small subunit ribosomal RNA
Source: RNAcentral
CAGUCGCCACGGUAAUGCGUAGGGGGCAAGCGUUAUCCGGAAUUACUGGGUGUAAAGGGAGCGUAGACGGUUAAACAAGUCUGAAGUGAAAUGCCGGGGCUCAACCCCGGAGCUGCUUUGGGAACUGUAGAACUGGAGUGUCGGAGGGGUAAGCGGAAUUCCCAGUGUAGCGGUGAAAUGCGUAGAUAUUGGGAGGAACACCGGCGGCGAAGGCGGCUUACUGGACGACAACUGGCGUUGAGGCUCGAAGGCGUGGGUAGCAAACAGGAUUAGAUACCCCGGUAGUCCCUGUCUCUUAUAA